GCUAAAAUCUUUUAUGUGUGCUAA
RNAcentral lists this non-coding RNA (24 nucleotides) under Arabidopsis thaliana (thale cress). The record is from RNAcentral. Lineage: Eukaryota; Viridiplantae; Streptophyta; Magnoliopsida; Brassicales; Brassicaceae.